CAGGUGAUUCGUGACUACAGAAAUGUAGAGAAGUGAAACCUUCAGACAUCUUGCUGCGCACAGCGACACGCUGGGGGAUAGAGCAGAAGUUGGGCUGUUAAGCUGGUUGUGGUUUUAGCUGGGCCCCAGCAACGUAAUCUCCAGAAGUAAUAACAUGUGCAAUUCAGACUUGCUGCUUGCUUCACCUCAAAUAUGUCCCUCUUCCAUAAAUCUUAACAAGUUUUCGCAAAUAAGCACUUGGCACAGUAUCUUCUACACAGUCAGUACAUACGUACUAGCUGAACUAGACUUGUUGAUGGACAGAAUGUUUUCUUUAGAAAUCCUUCUCAAGAUGCUCUGAAGAGAUAAGGGAAACCACACUGAAGGAUAUCUGAGGAGGCAAGAAAUUAAGAAAUGCACCGCCCAUGGAUUCAAUAAACUGUCAUACAUGGAUUGAUAUCUGAGAGAGAAAUCCAGAAAAACACUUGAGGGAGACUUGUGCAUACCAGGUGACUAAGGAUAUCCCCACAUUGAAACAGGAGCUGACAAGGCCUGGCCUUCUGUAGUCCCUUCCGAUGUACAGAGAACAUGACAGCUUUCCCUGGUCCUGCAGGCUCUUCUUACGGCUCCUCAUCUCAGCUCCUGAGCUCCAGCAAUAAAACCCAGCAUCUCUCUGGAAGGUGGACUAUAAUACCGCCCUGACUUUUCCAGUUGCUACCCGACGGCCUGGCUUCUAAGUUGCCUGUUUCUGGGAGCUGAUUACACAGAUGAAAAUUGAUUAAACUUUUCAAUCAAGACUAUGCUAUCCAUAAGAAAUAACACGGCAGGCUAGAAAGUAAAGGGAUAUUAGAGACGGAAGACUUCUUUGAUAUGGCAAUAAGAAGAAAUCAGGAGUAUUUUCAGCCUUUGAAAAGGAAGGAAACACAGCCACUUGCAACAGAGGUGAACCCGGAGGACAUCAUGCUAAGUGAACUAAGACAGACAAAGAGAAAUACUGCACGAUCUUACUUAAAUGUGAAAUCUUAAGAAGCCCGACUCAUAAAUGCAGAGAAAUCCGCUGUCUGGGUGUCCUCAGGGAGUUUCUGUUAUUUCUUCUGGAUCCUCUGUGUCGGGCAUAGCUUCCUAUUUCUUUAGAUGGUUCAUACCUUGUUAAAAAUUUGACACUGUAAGUGAUAUAAUGGGGAAACUCUGGAAAUCAGGAACCACCCAGGUCUGUUAC
Suricata suricatta (meerkat) is the source of this 1198-nucleotide long non-coding RNA. RefSeq lists it as uncharacterized. The transcript is spliced from 5 exons. NCBI's taxonomy places the organism in Eukaryota, Metazoa, Chordata, Mammalia, Carnivora, Herpestidae. The record is from RefSeq and is a predicted model, not a curated record.